RNAcentral lists this long non-coding RNA (6009 nucleotides) under Homo sapiens (human). Its description in RNAcentral is "HSALNT0391222". The record is from RNAcentral. Lineage: Eukaryota; Metazoa; Chordata; Mammalia; Primates; Hominidae.
CUCAGCCUCCUGAGUAGCUGGGAUUGCAGAAGUAGGACCCUUCUUUGAAUGAAACUUAGUAAGAUUCAUAUAAGUAACAGAACCUUCCAGGUCUGAGCUGAGGUGUCAUCUCUGAACACCAGGCUGCUGCACUAACCAGAAGACCCCUCCCCACCUGCAGUGGCCUCGCUGCAUCGUAAGGAUGGAGGAGCUGUUGUCUCCACAGCUGACAGGUGCUUAGUGGUUAGAAGUCUGGUUUUCGCGCGGCUUAGAUCUUUAACAUCUGAACUAGUCCUGUCAACAUAUUUUGUUAUAUUUCUGGUGGCUUUGUCUUUGAUGCUAUUAUAAAUGAUUAUCUUUUAAAAUAAUACUUUGAUGAUAUAUAGAAAUGAAAUUGAUUUAUUUGACUGUAUCCAGCAACCUUUUCAAAUUCUAAUAAAUUGUGUAGGGAAAAAAAAGUCUGGCUUCGGAGUCAGAACGGAAUUGAAUCCUGCCUCCACCACUUCCUACCUAUAUGACCUGGUGAAACUUAUCCCUCUCUGUGACUCAGUUUCCUCAUCUGUAAAAUGGGAAAAUUGAAAGCAACUAACAGGUUUGGGGCCGUUUUGCUUGCUGCUGCUGUGGCUUCAGUGCUGAGGCCUGGCACUCAGCGGGAUGUCAGCCCAGGACUGGAGCUUCUUUCUCAUGGUAUUAUUUUGAAUUUAGAUGAAAAGAGGUAUUCCAGGAGAGCUCCUGGCACAGGGCCUGGCAGGUGGCACAUCCUCAGUAAAUGUGAGCUGCUGUCAGCUGCUGUGUGAGUGCCUGGUGUGGCCCUGUUGUCCCCUUGAGGGUUGGGGGACAAAACAGGCCCUCAGGAAGCCUGCCUGUGUAUUCGGGGGCUGGGGAGAUCUCUGACCUCCUGUCUCCUAGCUCCACCAGCAUCUCUCACCUCCCCCAGCAAUGUACAACCCCUUCUUUUCCCAUAGCUUAGGCCCCUGAGGUACCAGCCCCCCAGCCUAGGGACAGCCCAGUGGCAAACUCCUGGUGACCUGGGUCAAGCUGCUGUUCUCCAAUCCCAACUCGGCUCUUCCCGUGACUUGGCCCCCAGGCCUUGGGUGAGGCUCCGAUGAAAUAACACACAGGAAUGUGCGCUGAACACUGCCAAGCACUGCAGGUGGGCAGGGGCUUUGUGCUCCCCAGCGACUGUUCCUAUCCUGCGGGAAUGGAGGAGACCGACAAAGAAGCCCCACUCCUGGGCUGACAUCCUGCCAGUGCCAGCCGGGCCUCAGCACCAGUGGGUCAGCCAGAACAGCAACGACGAACAAUGAGGCCCCAAACCCGUGGGCCCCCCACUUUCUAUCUUGAAUUUCUCUGUCUUUCCUAGGCCAGCAAUGUUUGAGAGGGAGAGCGAGCUGAAGAUUUCCUGAUUUCAGAUAGGCCUAGAGAAGGAUUGUAAUUUUCUAGUGUGAAAAGGAAGUGGCACAAAGAUGAGGGCAAUGAAGAAGAUGGUUCAAUGGAAGUACCAGGGUCCUGUAAAUAGGGAACGUGUUUUAUGAUCAAACCGUUCUUUGCAUUUUUGGUGAUUUUGAGGUUUAAUUUCCUCUAUGUAGUUAGUUAACUAUUUAACACUGAGAGCAGGGGUAGGGAUAAGGCAAACAACAAAAAAGCCAAAAUGAAACCAACUUCUGUGGGGUUUCCCCACCCCAGGGAGGUGGAGGCUGAGGUAGAACUGACUGAGAGAAUCACCCUCCCUGCACUGUGAUGAAGACACAUCCACACAUCAGGACUACACAGCUGGCAGGUGCUGGCUGUCCAGAGGAGCAAACAGCUUCUUCCUUGUGUUUCUGUGUCUCUUAGUAGAAAUCUGUGCCCUUGGGAGAAAACUGAAUUUGCACCCCUUGAGGCAAACACUUGACCAAAUGAAUUAGGCAGAUGGGUGGAUGGGUGGGUGAAUGGGCAGGAGGUGUGACAGGCAGGAGGCGUGACAGGGAAAGAACACUGUUCUGACAGGCACACACUGCCACAUCUGCCCUCCCAACAACCCCGAUACAGACACUGUUGUUAACCCUCCUUUUACAGAUGAGGAAACUGAAGUUAAUUUGCUCGUGGUAACACAGCUAGGCAAGUGGCUACGUUCAGCUGGAGAAAAGGAAAAUUCUGAAAGACUUUAGGAUACAUCUUAUUCAAAAGCAUUUGGUGAACAUAAAUAUGUACCCAAGGUAUAAUAUUAAGUGAACCAAGCUUGUUAUAAAGCAGUAUGAGUCCUGUCUGAUUCCAACUUUAUAAAAAAUAGAUGCAUAUGUCAAUAAAUGCACAGAAAAGGGUAUACCCUAAAAUGUUAAUAAUGGUGAUCUCUGGGUUAUGACACAAAAUAUUGAUUGGUCUUUGGGCUUUUCUUUAAUUUUAAAAUGUUAAUAGACAUGUAUUAUCUUAAUAAUGGGAGGAGCCACAGAAAAAGUGCUUUUCAAAAACAUGAAAUCAAUAAGCCCAUGCAGGACCUGCAGGGGGCUGCAGUCACCUGGGCCUCAUAGGCUUGGCAAAGGCUUUAGUUAUGCCCUGAUUGGAGGCCACUGGCAUGGAGAAGCUGUAGGUCAGCUAACUGGAACUAGGACAUCCAAUGUGAUUGGUUAUGUGUGCAUAUUUGUCUUUCUUCAUUGGGUCCUAAGUUGCAAGCAGGCGCAAAAAUUAAGGAAGCUGUGAGUCAAUGAAGUCCUGGCUGUUUUUCAGCUGGUUGCUAUAGGGUUGUUUUUUGACUUUCUAGACUGGUUGCUGUAGAGGUGGGUCAGAGUUUUACUUUCAUCUAUGGUCUGGCCAUUGUAUUUGUAUAUUCAGUCUCUUAGUCACCCCUUUUGGUCAUUCGCUUACUUUCAAGAGGUUGGCCAAUUCAAGGAAAGCUGGAAAUCUAGCUCUUUAUCACUCAGAGAUUAUUCAGUAAACUCCAUAUAAAACUGUAUUGCAAAAUAUUCCUGACCUUUUUGUUUUUGUAUCAUCAUGGUGAUUUUGACUAGAGAGCAGAUGUGCAGAAGCUUUUAAGAAUCUAGAUAGCACGCAGCAUCAUGUCCACUCUUACAAAGCCAGAAUAAUUAAUAGUUCCUAUAAGGUGAUUUGGAACCAGGAACCUCAAUUGCCAAAUCAAGGCCAAAAUAACAAAUUUGAUAGAUUAUGGGAUCAACCUUAGCCAAAUAGCUUAUACCAUGAAACAAUAUAUAAUAGUUCCAACUUGCUUGUUUCUUUGAUCCAAGGACAAGAAGUAUGAGCAACGGCACAGACACCAGGAUGACUAAAAGAAAAAAAAAAAAAAAACCUAGGGUAAUGUUAUUGUCUAUCACUGCCCAUGCCAAUGAGUUGAGAUUGUUCUGUAUUUGUAUCUAGGACAAAGGCAAUAUCAUCAAUAACUUCUGCCAGAGUGAGUAUCUUAGUCCAUUCAGGCUGCUGUACUAAAAUACCAUAAUUUGGGUGGCUUAUAAAGAAUAGAAAUGUAUUUCUUUCAGUUCUAGAAACUGAGAAAAUCAAGAUAAAGACGCCAGCAGACUCGAGGCCAGGUGUGAUAGCUCAUGCCUGUAAUCCCAGAACUUUGGGAGGCUGAGGUGGGUGGAUCACCUGAGGUCUGGAGUUCAAGACCAGCUUGACCAACAUGGAGAAACCCCGUCUCUACUAAAAAUACAAAAUUAGCCAGGUGUGGUGGUGGGCAACUGUAAUCCCAGCUACUCAGGAGGCGGAGACGGAAGAAUUCCUUGAACCGGGAGGCGGAGGUUGUAGUGAGCUGAGAUCGCGCCACUGCUCCCCAGCCUGGGCCGGAGCCAGACUGUGUCUCAAAAACAAACAACAAAAUAAAACAAGAAAAGAUUUAAUGGAAGACCUCAAUAAGCCAUUGUAGGCUGUAAAAUUCACCUAGUCCAAUCUUUCAGAGUCGUUUUGGACUUGAUAGUAGCUCAGUACCAAGAUCAUUACAGAAGUUAAUACCAAUAAUAGCCAUUGAAUAUAUUGUCUCUAUAAUGUGGAUCAAAUUCUCAUUUGACUGUACUGACAUUGGUGAUAGAAGGUGCAACCUGAUUUACGCUGGGGUAUAUCAGGUGAUUAAAGUUAAGGCAGGCUAGAGAAAAAGUGAAAGCACUCAAAUUGCUGAUUUGGAGUGAAUGAUAAAGCAAUUUAAUACACCGUCUCUAAAGCAUCCGUUUUCGCCUGUCCGAAGAGUUUUAAAGGAUAUUUGGCCAGAAAAUUUCUACCAUGUGUCAGAAUAUUAAUUUGCAUGUAUGCAUUCAUAGUUCAUGGGAUAUUAUUUUAGUGGUUUUAUUAUAACUGCAUAGAAUGGUUUGCUUCUUACUGAAGAUCUUUCUUUUUUUCUUUCGUUCUUUCUCUUUCUUACAGCCAUAGGUGCUUUAAGUCAUUAAACUUUGAGCACUGUAAAAAUAUCUAAAGAGUGCUUAUUUUUAUAACAUUAAUACUCCAUUUGCAACUUUAAUUAUAGUUACUUCAUUUUUAAAAUCUCAGAAGAUAAUGAAAUAUGUAGAAUUGCCAAAACAAUUGAGAAAGCUCACUGCAUUCGUUUGGUAGAGCUGUCGUAACAAAGUGCCAUGGACUGGAUGGCUUAAACAGAAACUUACUUUCUCACAGUUUUAGAUGCCAAAAGUCCAAGAUUAAAGGUAUUGGUAGGUUUGGUUUCUUCUGAGACCUAUUCAAUUGGUCCAUAGACUGCUAUCGUCUCCCCGUGUCUUUACAUCGUCAUUUCUCUGUAUGUGUCUGUGUGUAAAUGUUCUCCUCUUAGAAGCACGCCAGUCACAUUGGAUUAGGACGCACCCUACUGACCUUAUUUAACCUUAAUUGUGUACUUCUCUAAAGACCUUGUCUCCAAGUAUAGAUACUCCGUGAUAUUGAGGGUUAGGACUUCAACACAUGAAUUUGGCGGGGGUGGGUGGGCACAAUUUAGCUCAUAAAACUCACUAAGGUUUAAUUAGGGCAUGGACUGUAGAGCAUUCUACUGUUAAUUUAGUUUUUGUGUUUGGAAAGCAUUUUGAAACAUAAUGAUUUUUAUUUACAAUUUCAUUAUUUAUAUUUUCAUUAUGUUUAGGGUUGCUUGGAGGUAAAUGAAGAAAGAAGAGUUCCGCAUUAGUGAGGCAGGGAUGUCAGUAUAUAAGGAAUUGGAAAGACAUCAGUGAUAAUGGCAAAAGCUGCUUAUAAAUUAAAUUAAGAGCUUAAUUAAACUGAGGAAAAAAGCAUAUUGCCAAAUUACAUGCAGUUGUUUUGUAACAGCAUUUGUCCACUUGCUGUGCCCUGAGAUUUCCAAGGCACAUUCCUCUACUAAGCGUAUUAUAAGAUGAUUAAAUAUGCAUAGUACAAGUAUGUUAUGGAAGGCUGUGUUAACUGAUAUAGUGGGACCACAAUAGUAUGUGUAAGUGAGAUUUGGAAAAUUUGAUAUGCCAGCAAGGACAAAGAAGUGUUGAAUUUGCAAGUUUAUGCACAUAAUUCUGAGAAUCCAGGCAGCUAUUUCUCCUUUUGAAUUGUUCUCUUGGCUAGGGGAUAAGGGUGAGACACAAUACACAUUUGAAUGUGUCACUGUGUAAGUUACCACUGCAAUAUCUUCUGUAUGUUGAAAAACUGGUACUUAUAUGUACUAAUACUAUCUACCAUGAAAAAAACAAUUAAAAAUUUAAAAUAUCAUGUAAAUUAAAUAAAGUUCAAAUACCACUAGCCAGAAAAAAAUAUUUUAUAUUAUAGUCUGGGGUCAGAAGAGGAAAACCUUAUGUAAAGUAUCAAAAUUAAUUUUUAUUUCAAUUUAAAUGCACCAUCAUAUAACAUAGUUUCAUAACUGAAAUUACAUUUGUCAGAAUUUGAUCUUUUCAUUAUUAAAGAAUUGAGGGAAAAUUGAUGGUUAUAAUAUUGAUAUGCCAUGUAAAUAAACUUUUUUUGAUUGUUAUAGGAAUGAAUUGCUCAACUAAUUGGCCAAUGUCAACCACAUAUCUGUUUCCAUGGAAACUGCAGCAAUAUUACUUCAAAUAGUUUCAUUUGUGAAUGUGAUAAACAAUUUUCAGAUAAAAAAUGUAUACAUACAUA